CCUACGGGAGGCAGCAGUGAGGAAUAUUGGACAAUGGGCGCAAGCCUGAUCCAGCCAUGCCGCGUGCAGGAUGACGGUCCUAUGGAUUGUAAACUGCUUUUGCACAGGAGGAAACAACUCUACGUGUAGAGUCUUGACGGUACUGUGAGAAUAAGGAUCGGCUAACUCCGUGCCAGCAGCCGCGGUAAUACGGAGGAUCCAAGCGUUAUCCGGAAUCAUUGGGUUUAAAGGGUCCGUAGGCGGUUUAGUAAGUCAGUGGUGAAAGCCCAUCGCUCAACGGUGGAACGGCCAUUGAUACUGCUAGACUUGAAUUAUUAGGAAGUAACUAGAAUAUGUAGUGUAGCGGUGAAAUGCUUAGAGACUACAUGGAAUACCAAUUGCGAAGGCAGGUUACUACUAAUGGAUUGACGCUGAUGGACGAAAGCGUGGGUAGCGAACAGGAUUAGAUACCCUGGUAGUCCACGCCGUAAACGAUGGAUACUAGCUGUUGGGCGCAAGUUCAGUGCUAAGCGAAAGUGAUAAGUAUCCCACCGUGGUAGGUAGUUCGUUCGAGAAGUUAGAACGACAANAGAGUUAGACGGCGNGAGAGNGCGACGGCGACGACGAGGGAGGAGG
This 615-nucleotide ribosomal RNA is filed under the name uncultured bacterium. RNAcentral describes it as "bacterial SSU rRNA". The stretch from base 1 to 532 matches the Rfam family "Bacterial small subunit ribosomal RNA", at positions 338 to 873 of the family's 1533-position model. The record is from RNAcentral.